This 24-nucleotide small nuclear RNA is filed under the name Arabidopsis thaliana (thale cress). RNAcentral's name for it is "snRNA_08314". The record is from RNAcentral. Lineage: Eukaryota; Viridiplantae; Streptophyta; Magnoliopsida; Brassicales; Brassicaceae.
AAUAUUGCGUGGGAAUUCUCCCUC